This is a long non-coding RNA of Gasterosteus aculeatus aculeatus (three-spined stickleback), 2477 nucleotides long. NCBI's taxonomy places the organism in Eukaryota, Metazoa, Chordata, Actinopteri, Perciformes, Gasterosteidae. The record is from Ensembl.
UUUUCCAACAUCUCAGCGCCAUGAGAUUGAAUCAAUGUUUGCAUUUUUGGAGACCUAUGAUACUCACGCUUCCUAACUAAUCGUCGUGAAGGUUUCAACUGAAUGGCAGACAGAAAUAAAUAGAUCAUAGUUUGUUGUUGCCCACAGCUACAAGAAAACACCUGCAAUAUACAUCUAUAGUGGCGGAAGAUUAAUUUGUACGAUUUUUUUCCUUCCUGUCUCUGACAGACCAGACCGCAGUUAACGUUUGUGAUGGCGGGGUGUGGUCAGCUCAGCUGCAGGGGUGAGAACGGGGGAGUGGUUCAGGGGACGGUGACGGCAGGAGAGUAAGGAGCACAGGUGGAAGUGAUCAGAACUGAUUGUGUGUCCCUUGAAAAGCAGUGAGCAGGGCCUGGAGAGAGAGGGAGACUCUGCAGCAGACGCUCAGCGGCAAGGCCGAGGAGGAGGAGGAGGAGGAGGAGGAGGAGGAGGAGGAGGAGGAGGAGGAGGAGGAGGACGAGGACGACCAUGCGAAACCUGCUCACUGCGAGAAAAUAAAAUAAAAUAUAUUGCUCAGAAGAAUCGUGUCUCCGUGCGUCCUUACGCGAACCCCAAAGGUGGUGGCUCGAACCUGCUACAACGUUAAAACUAUCCCUCCCUUCACCUCCAGAAUAAAAAAGGCAGGCCAGCGUAUUCCGGUCCCAACAGUUGUGGAAGUUACGUUCUUUUUACUGACAAACAUGUUGUAGAAAUAUUCAUCUUAUACACACAAUUAAUACGUCUGUUACACGGACAUCACUGUAACAUUUAAAUGGACUCUUCAUUUCUUACUUAACAGAACAUUUAUGCGACAGCUCACUGAAAUGGGGUCGAAGAUAUUUCGCUGGUCAACAAAGUUUUAUAUUUAUUAAGAUCAUGUAGUAAAAUGUAUUUGAAAUUUGCUGUCUUGUAUUUGAUAUGGCCCUUCAGUAUUGUCUUAAAAGGUAAAUUGAUAGUCCAUUCUACAUGUUUCAUCUGUAAGUUAAAAGUUAAAACAUUGACUUCCCUGUGACAUUAGGGAAUGCCAGUAUUCCAGUUCUCUAAUUUCACUUCUCUAAUAUAUUUAUCUCAUCUUUUAUUUUUUGCUCAGCAUCACCAAGGCUCCGGAGGCAACCUCUGUAUGAUAGUAAGUAAUAGGCUGUAUGCUCAAUGCUUUUUCACUGCAUUUGUUUAGUGGGAUGUGUGCUAAUUAUCCUGUUCUCCUUUAUAGGAUUAUGCAUGUGGAAGGAAAAGCGGUUUGGAUCUGAUUUGAGGUUGAUAUUCAUUUACAUUGUCAGUAAUUGAAAUACACAAUGCACUUGAUCAUUUUGGCAAUUUUGUUAAUUAAUUUCCUGAUCAGAUGGUUUAUUAUUUUGUAUUUGCUCCGUAUGGUCAGUUCUGACUUCUCUGAGAAUUUGCACUAAAAAAUGCCUGAACUGCAUUAUGUUUCAUGUGUCUUAAUAGGGGAUCAAAUAAAAAAUGUUUGUAUUAAAUAAUUGUUUUAGAAGUAUUUGAUCAAAAUGAGUACUAAUUCAAUAUAAUCCUCUUGCAUGGUUGUUCUUAGAUUGAGAUAUGUCUACACAUAUGUGUUGGAUGUACUGCACACCAAUAAAUUGAGUUCAUCCAAUGACUUUUUGAGUUUAGAUUGAGUUCAACGAACAACAUUUUUUUAUAUUUGGUUCAUUUUAGAUGAAUUUGAUCAAAAUGAAUCCGGAAUCAGGAAACAUUUAUUGCCAAAAGAUGUCAUAUAUACAAGGAAUUUGACUUGGCGGUAAUACACUAUAAUAGAAUAAAGAUAAAGUUAAAAAUUAAAAAUAUUUAAAAAGUUAAAUAUAAAAAAAUAAAGUGCACCAGCGAACAAGUGACAAAGUGACGAGUGACGACUAAGUGACGAGUGACGACAAAGUGACGGGUGAAAAAUGACAGUAAAGUGACGUGUGCAGUAUGAAAGAAAGUGACCGGUGGAAUGUCUCCUGCCAGAUGGAAGGGGCACAAACAGGUUUUGUCCGGGGUGAGAGGGGUUGGCUACGAUCUUUAUAGCUAGCUUCAGAGACCUGGAAGCGAACAAGUCCUGCAGGGACGGCACAUUGCAGCCAAUCACCCUGCAGAGUGGGUGACACGCUGCCUGCCCUUGUCCUUGGCUGUGGCUGCAGCGUACCAGACGAUGAUGGAGGAGCAGUGGAUGGACUCCAUGAUGGCCGUGUACAAGUGGACCAUCAUCGUCUUUGGCAGGUUGAAUUUCUUCAGCUGCCUCAGGACGAACAACCUCUGUUGAGCCUUCUUGGUGACUGGAGGUGCAGCUGUUGAUGUACAGGGAGACGAGCAGAGGGGAAAGAACGCAGCUUUGGGGGGGAACCGGUGCUGAUGGUCCGAGAGGCUGAGACAUGUUUCCCCUUCAUUCGCUGCUUCCUGUCAGACAGAAAGUCUGUGAUCCACUUGCAGGUGGAGUCGGGCAUGUGUAGCUGAGAGAGUUUGUCCUG